This 64-nucleotide transfer RNA is filed under the name Tritonia tetraquetra. RNAcentral describes it as "tRNA-Ala". The record is from RNAcentral. Lineage: Eukaryota; Metazoa; Mollusca; Gastropoda; Nudibranchia; Tritoniidae.
GUUACUAUACUUUAUAUUAAGAAGGCUUGGUUUGCAACUAAGUAGAGGAUUUAUCCUAGUACCA